CCUGGCUCAGGAUGAACGCUAGCUACAGGCUUAACACAUGCAAGUCGAGGGGCAGCAUGGUCUUAGCUUGCUAAGGCCGAUGGCGACCGGCGCACGGGUGAGUAACACGUAUCCAACCUGCCGUCUACUCUUGGACAGCCUUCUGAAAGGAAGAUUAAUACAAGAUGGCAUCAUGAGUCCGCAUGUUCACAUGAUUAAAGGUAUUCCGGUAGACGAUGGGGAUGCGUUCCAUUAGAUAGUAGGCGGGGUAACGGCCCACCUAGUCUUCGAUGGAUAGGGGUUCUGAGAGGAAGGUCCCCCACAUUGGAACUGAGACACGGUCCAAACUCCUACGGGAGGCAGCAGUGAGGAAUAUUGGUCAAUGGGCGAGAGCCUGAACCAGCCAAGUAGCGUGAAGGAUGACUGCCCUAUGGGUUGUAAACUUCUUUUAUAAAGGAAUAAAGUCGGGUAUGGAUACCCGUUUGCAUGUACUUUAUGAAUAAGGAUCGGCUAACUCCGUGCCAGCAGCCGCGGUAAUACGGAGGAUCCGAGCGUUAUCCGGAUUUAUUGGGUUUAAAGGGAGCGUAGAUGGAUGUUUAAGUCAGUUGUGAAAGUUUGCGGCUCAACCGUAAAAUUGCAGUUGAUACUGGAUAUCUUGAGUGCAGUUGAGGCAGGCGGAAUUCGUGGUGUAGCGGUGAAAUGCUUAGAUAUCACGAAGAACUCCGAUUGCGAAGGCAGCCUGCUAAGCUGCAACUGACAUUGAGGCUCGAAAGUGUGGGUAUCAAACAGGAUUAGAUACCCUGGUAGUCCACACGGUAAACGAUGAAUACUCGCUGUUUGCGAUAUACGGCAAGCGGCCAAGCGAAAGCGUUAAGUAUUCCACCUGGGGAGUACGCCGGCAACGGUGAAACUCAAAGGAAUUGACGGGGGCCCGCACAAGCGGAGGAACAUGUGGUUUAAUUCGAUGAUACGCGAGGAACCUUACCCGGGCUUAAAUUGCAGAUGAAUUACGGUGAAAGCCGUAAGCCGCAAGGCAUCUGUGAAGGUGCUGCAUGGUUGUCGUCAGCUCGUGCCGUGAGGUGUCGGCUUAAGUGUCAUAACGAGCGCAACCCUUGUUGUCAGUUACUAACAGGUUCCGCUGAGGACUCUGACAAGACUGCCAUCGUAAGAUGUGAGGAAGGUGGGGAUGACGUCAAAUCAGCACGGCCCUUACGUCCGGGGCUACACACGUGUUACAAUGGGGGGUACAGAGGGCCGCUACCACGCGAGUGGAUGCCAAUCCCCAAAACCUCUCUCAGUUCGGACUGGAGUCUGCAACCCGACUCCACGAAGCUGGAUUCGCUAGUAAUCGCGCAUCAGCCACGGCGCGGUGAAUACGUUCCCGGGCCUUGUACACACCGCCCG
This 1383-nucleotide ribosomal RNA is filed under the name uncultured bacterium. RNAcentral describes it as "bacterial SSU rRNA". It matches the Rfam family "Bacterial small subunit ribosomal RNA", at positions 18 to 1396 of the family's 1533-position model. The record is from RNAcentral.